GCCUUCCGGCCGCCCCCGCCGGGCCUCGUCCCGCUCGCUGCCUGCUGCCCUCCGGGACCCCUGGCUCCCACGAGUGAAGGCCGGCGGGUGUCUUCUUUACUCUCACACAGGCGACGCUCCAUCGCGCGCCUCUGUCCGCCGCACUGAGCGCGGACCCUGCGCGCUCUCCACAGGCCUGGCGGCCGAGGGUCGGGAGCGUCUCCUUCUCCACAGUCCCCGUGUAUCCGUAUGAAAAGAAAGCGGACCCGAAAGAACCACUGUUGCCGAGGAACAGGUGAACGCGGGGCCAGAGCGAGGAGGAGGCAGAGCGGGCGAGCCUCACUGCAGAUCUGGAGCUCUGCUCUGCAGUGGCCCCAGCUUCUAGCUGUGCAUCAGCCUAGGCCUCCUAUUUAAUGCCCCAGGGCCUCCUGAGGUGAUGAGAUCCUGUGAGGAGCUGGGCAGGAAGUAACACUACGCAUGGCCAUGUGAUAGGACAGGGAUCUACACAAAUUGUGGAGCACACUGGUGAGCUGACAGGUGAACAGGCAGGCACAGCAUCACAAAGACCUACUAAAACAACAGGCAAACAGAAAAGAUGUCAGUUGUGCCCUACAAGAAAGGACAGGAAAAGAACAUGUGCUAUCAAUCGCUGGGGACCAAAGCCAGCCCUCGGCAUGUGUUCGGCAAGCACUAUCACUGCGUUCCAUGCGAGCCCUUUAAGACCUUUGCAAAACGUUUGUCUUCGUGUUCCUCUCCUAGAGAACUGCUGUAAUUCCUGGCCCCCUUCUAACAGGUUUUCCCCUGCAAAGACAUUUGCAGUCUGUGUACUUUCGGGAAGGAACUCUCCGCGGACUCUGCCGCCCCCGCCCUGCCCGGAGUCGCCCCUCACCCUCUUGAUGCAGUCCUCACUUCGCGCUCCCAAAGCUAAGACACAGCCUGGACUGCCGGAUACGGAAAAUUACCCCAAUCACUCCAGGGAAAGUGAUUACUUUUGGAGAACACUGAACAAAAACUAAACAGUAACCUUCCUGACACUGUAGCAGAAGUCCGAAUGUUGAUCUAAAAAAUGAGAUGGUUUUAUAACCUGACUUGGAGGAUUCAGUUACAGACGAGGAAAAAUUUGUCACCCUGCGACGGAACAGAAAAGUCUUAGAUGAGUAAAGCACAGAAAAGGACGGCAUAAAUUGUCUACAACACACUGAGUUAAAAACAGGAGGUGGAUGUGUAAGCUCCAGAAACAGCUUUCUUCCUGAGUUACAGACGUCAUAGCACAGUGAUCCGUACACAGCCGCGUUUAUAGCAGCAUAGCUCAUAAUAGCUAAAUGUCCAUCGUAAACACCACAGCGUGAGUGGUUCUGCUCCACUGAGAGUGCGGCCUCACCACCACCCAAAAGCAAUGGGCCACUGUCACAGAGGAAACCUCCCAGCUGUGACCGCUAACACCCUCUGAGAAGCCGUUGCCUCCGGAGCUGGACUGCACCUCAGAAUAAACUCAACAUCCUGCAAGGACAGUGAGCCUAAGAAUCUUCAAAAAGGAAACCUGAGUUUACAUGUUAACAAAGUGAAG
Molecule: long non-coding RNA, 1546 nt
Organism: Chinchilla lanigera (long-tailed chinchilla)
Lineage: Eukaryota; Metazoa; Chordata; Mammalia; Rodentia; Chinchillidae
Exons: 7
Source: RefSeq, a predicted model, not a curated record